GUGAGGAAUUUUCCGCAAUGGGCGAAAGCCUGACGGAGCAAUGCCGCGUGGAGGAUGAAAGCCUAUGGGUUGUAAACUCCUUUUCUCAGAGAAGAAAUUUUGACGGUAUCUGAGGAAUAAGCAUCGGCUAACUCCGUGCCAGCAGCCGCGGUAAUACGGGGGAUGCAAGUGUUAUCCGGAAUAAUUGGGCGUAAAGCGUCUGUAGGUGGUUUACCAAGUCUGUUGUUAAAAAUCAGGGCUCAACCCUGAUCCGGCAACAGAAACUAGUAGGCUUGAGUACGGUAGGGGCAGAGGGAAUUCUCGGUGUAGUGGUGAAAUACGUAGAUAUCGAGAAGAACACCAAUAGCGAAAGCACUCUGCUGGGCCGAAACUGACAUUGAGAGACGAAAGCUAGGGGAGCAAAAGGGAUUAGAUACCCCUGUAGUCCUAGCUGUAAACGAUGGAUACUAAGUGCUGUGCGACUCAAAACGUCCAGUGCUGUAGCUAACGCGUGAAGUAUCCCGCCUGGGGAGUAUGCUCGCAAGAG
This 526-nucleotide ribosomal RNA is filed under the name uncultured eukaryote. RNAcentral's name for it is "bacterial SSU rRNA". It matches the Rfam family "Bacterial small subunit ribosomal RNA", at positions 354 to 894 of the family's 1533-position model. The record is from RNAcentral.